CUAGGUGGAGGACUUGGCUUGAAACGCCGAUGAAGGGUGUGGCAAGCUGCAGAAAGUCCCGGCGAGGUGCACGCAACCUUUGAACCGGGAAUUCCUGAAUGCGACUUCGCAUCCCUUUAUGGGAUACUCCGUAAGGAGAGGGAACGCGGGGAACUGAAACAUCUAAGUACCCGCAGGAAAAGAAAUCAAUAGAGAUGUCGUGAGUAGCAGCGAGCGAAAGCGACACAGGGCAAACCGAAUCCUCCAAGGUAACUUGGGGGAAAUGUGGUGUUUUAGGACUUCCUUUUAAACCUUCAUCUCAACUGUAAGUUUCCUGGAAUGGAACGCCGAAGAGGGUGAAAGCCCCGUGCAGGCAGAGUUGAAGGUUGUGGAAGUAUCCUGAGUACCGUAUCCUGGAUACGAUGCGGGAAUUUGGGAGCCAUCUACUUCCAACCCUAAAUACGUUUCAAGUCCGAUAGCGAAUAGUACCGUGAGGGAACGUUGAAAAGAACCCUUAACAGGGAGUGAAAAGAUCCUGAAACCUAGUAGUUAUAGAUUGUUGCGGCUCUACGGAGUUGCAACGUGCGUUUUGAAUAACGUGCCAGGGAGUUUGGGUAAGUGGCAAGGAUAACUCUUGUAGAGGUAUCCGUAGCGAAAGCGACAGCUCGCAGUUUACGAGGAGCGAGGUCUUAAUAGGGCCUGGAGUCACUUGCUCAUGACCCGAAACCGCUCGAUCUAUGCCUGGGCAGGGUGAAGCUCCGGUAAAACGGAGUGGAGGCCCGCAGAGGUGCUGUGGACAAGCGUUCUUCUGACCUGGGUAUAGGGGUGAAAAGCCAAUCGAGAGCGGUAAUAGCUGGUUCCUGCCAAAGUUGGCCGUAGUCAAGCCUUCCGUGAGCUUGAAGUGGCGGUAGAGAUACGGAUUGGGGGUUUAGGGGGAGAAAUCCCUCGGCUCCCUGUCCAACUCCGAAUGCCAUUUCUGCGAAGACCGGAGGAGACGGGGCCGCGGGGUAAGCUUGCGGUCCGAGAGGGGAACAACCCAGACUACAGUUAAGGCCCCUAAAUGCUCGUUAAGUGUUAAAGGGUGAAGAGUGUCUGGAGCCUAAGACAGAGAGGAGGUUGGCUUAGAAGCAGCCACCCUUUAAAAAGUGCGUAACAGCUUACUCUUCGAGGUUUCAGGCCUCUAAGAUGGACGGGGCUAAACGAGCUGCCGAUACUGUAGGCCCACAAUGUUGUGGUGCGGUAGGCAAGGCGUCCCGGUAGGGUAGAACUUUUCUCGAGAGAGAAAAGGGACCUUUCGGGAAUGAAAAUCCUGGUGGGAGUAGGACCAUAGUAUCGUGAGAAUCGAUACCACCGAAAGGGCAAGGGUUCCUCAACACUGCUCGUCAGUUGAGGGUUAGUCGAUCCUAACCGAUGCUCUAACCGAGUGAUCGGGAAAGGGAAAAAGGUUAAUAUUCCUUUACCAAGAGGAUACGUGCGGCAACGCAAGGAUUAUUUGCGACGCAUCCGGCUAGGCAGACACUUCUCGUCUGGAGUGUUAACCAGGAUAGUUCGAGGGAGUGUUGUAAUGACGAGAACUCGAACAAACUGGGAUGAGUAGUACCAAGAGUACUAUUCUGUCGAUGCCAGGUGUCCAUGAAAAGCAAAUAAUCAAGGAUUCCUCUUGUUCGUACCAACAACCGGCACAGGUGCCCCUAGGUUAGUAGCCUUAGGUGUAUAGGCUUAAUCAAGUCAAGGGAAUUCGGCAAAUUAGCCCCGUGCCUUCGGCAGAAGGGGUCCCUGCUUCUGUGCUUUUGAGUGUGGAAGCAGGGCGCAGUGACUAGGGCGGUCCGACUGUUUAACAAAAACUUAACUUCGCGCAAAGUCGUAAGGCUUAGUAUGCGAAGUGACGUCUGCCCAGUGCCCGUAGUUUAAGCUCUCUUCCAAGAGAGUGAAGACCGGGUAAACGGCGGGAGUAACUAUAACUCUCUUAAGGUAGCGAAAUACCUUGUCGUUUGAAUGACGACGUGCAUGAAUGGCGUAACGAGAUCGCCACUGUCCCUGACUUGAAGCCUCCGAAAUCUCCAUUCUGGUGCAAAGGCCAGAGAGUCCCAGUGGGAAGCGAAGACCCCGUGAAACUUUACUGUAGCCUGCCGCUGCGAUGCGGGUCCUGAUGUGCAGCGUAGGUAGGAGCCGUCGAAGAAUAUCCGUCAGGGUAUUUGGAGGCGCCAAUGAGACACUACCCUUCAGGGCUUGCAUCGCUAACCUCUAAGAGGGACAACGGUUGGUGGACAGUUUGGCUGGGGUGGCACUCUGCUGAAAAGGUAUCAGUAGAGCCCAAAGGUCAGCUCAGACGGGUCAGAAAUCCGUCGUAGAGUGCAAGAGCAUAAGCUGGCUUGACUGUGUUCUUAAUAAGAAGGAACGCAGAAAGGAAACUUGGGUCUAGCGAACCCCUGUGCCUCAUUGAUGGGGGCCAGGGAUAACCGAAAAGUUACUCCGGGGAUAACAGAGUUGUCUAGCCCGAGAGUUCACAUCGACGGCUAGGCUUGCUACAUCGAUGUCGGCUCAUCCUAUCCUGGCCGUGCAGAAGCGGCCAAGGGUGGGGGUGUUCACCCAUUAAAAGGGUUCGUGAGCUGGGUUCAGAACGCCGCGAGGCAGUUUGUUUGAUAUCUACUGGGACUGUCAGGUGUCUGAGGGGAAGGACUAUCUAGUACGAGAGGAACGAUAGUUCGAGGCCUCUGGUGUACCUGUUGUCCGACAGGGCAUAGCAGGGCAGCUACGCCUUAGCUGAUAAGUGCUGAAAGCAUCUAAGCACGAAGCAGUCCUCGAAAAGAGACACCUUAGGGCGCUCAUACAAUAUGAGUUUGAUAGGACUGGCGUGUAAGCGUCAAGGCAAC
This 2852-nucleotide ribosomal RNA is filed under the name Gammaproteobacteria bacterium. RNAcentral describes it as "23S ribosomal RNA". It matches the Rfam family "Archaeal large subunit ribosomal RNA". Lineage: Bacteria; Pseudomonadati; Pseudomonadota; Gammaproteobacteria. The record is from RNAcentral.